This is a long non-coding RNA of Antechinus flavipes (yellow-footed antechinus), 488 nucleotides long. RefSeq lists it as uncharacterized. Lineage: Eukaryota; Metazoa; Chordata; Mammalia; Dasyuromorphia; Dasyuridae. The record is from RefSeq and is a predicted model, not a curated record. The transcript has 2 exons.
CAAGAAGGAGGAAAAGGAGGCUCUCGCAGGACGGGGGACCCACGCCGUGCUAGGAAGGAAGCGAGGGAUUCUACAAAGAGGGAAGGUGUCCGGAAAUGGGAGGCAGUCGGGCCGGAACAUUAUUCAUGGACAUCCUCUAGCUGCCAACAUGACUGGAAUGGAGUGCGUUUGCUAUGAGCCAGACACCGUGCCCCGAGAUGAGCACCUACCUCCAAAGUGGCCACAAGCCCCCCACUCCCUAGCCUGACCCCAGCCCCAGUGCCGCCUGUCUCAGCCCAGAUGGGGACUUGCCGUUUGCUCAUCCCACCUCGGCAUCUCUGCUCAGCCUGCUCUCCCCACCUGCCGAUCUGAGUGCGUCCUUCCUUUUCUCCACACUCAGCUCAAGACUCAUCCCAGCCAGGGAGCUCCUGCUUAAUGCUACCAAAUUGUUUGAUCUUGGUUUUCACUGGGUCAAUUUGCAUGUUAUUAACAUGACUGUCAUAAGUAUU